UACGUAGGGUGCGAGCGUUGUCCGGAAUUAUUGGGCGUAAAGAGCUUGUAGGCGGUCUGUCGCGUCUGCUGUGAAAAUCCGGGGCUCAACCCCGGACUUGCAGUGGGUACGGGCAGACUAGAGCGUGGUAGGGGAGACUGGAAUUCCUGGUGUAGCGGUGAAAUGCGCAGAUAUCAGGAGGAACACCGAUGGCGAAGGCAGGUCUCUGGGCCACUACUGACGCUGAGAAGCGAAAGCAUGGGGAGCGAACAGG
RNAcentral lists this ribosomal RNA (253 nucleotides) under uncultured bacterium. RNAcentral's name for it is "partial 16S ribosomal RNA". It matches the Rfam family "Bacterial small subunit ribosomal RNA", at positions 524 to 776 of the family's 1533-position model. The record is from RNAcentral.